UCCAUGAAAACAACAUCUGAAAAUAAUAACCUUAUAAUAUCAUGAAAUCAUAUACACUUUAUAACACAACAUAUAUCACACCUUUACAUUUCAAUCAUCAGGAAACAGAUUUCCUCUUUUACCAGCCUACUAGUAUCCCUGGGGAUCCAUAGGGGGUUCCUUCUACACGUGAACCCUUAACAUUUAUAACCUGAUUCCAAGGCCGUCCCCAUACCCCGUCCGGUAUGGGCUCCUAAACCAUGAACCUCAAUACUCUUUCCGAUAUGAGGGUGAAACGGGCCGUCCCCAUACCCAGUCCGGUAUGGGCGCCAAAACACAUAAGGUCUCCAUACCCCGUCUGGUAUGAGAGACCACGUUCCCGGUAGGGUUCCCUACGGACCCGGUCCGUCCACCAUCUCUCAAGAUAUCUAGUCAGGCUGUCCACAUUAUCCACUUAUCAAUUCACAUAACCUUUUUACCUUUUUCCUUAAUCUCAUUCAUCCAAUCAUACAAAAUAUGUAAACCAGUAAUUGACACCAAAUAAGACAAUACAGUAUCGGGUUCACAAUAUUACAUGCAUACGAGACCAUAACAUAAUUACAUCAAACAACAUGCUGCAUUUAAUACUGGAAAUUAAAUCAAAUAAUAACAGACCAAUACUGUAUCAGACUCGGGAUUCAUUGGCAACCUUAAUCAAUUAUACAUCUAUAAAGUCACACAGUGCAGUUUAAUUAUUUAUCUAGCUUUAAUACCGUGAUAGGAAAUAGGGUGAGGGGUCCUUACUUAUUUUGGGGUCUGAAUACAGCUCUACAGUGCGCCUACAGGCUGUCCCUAAUUUUCUUGAAUUUUUUUUAGAAAACUGAAACGCACUACCGGUACCUGCACAUGUCCCAAAAAAUCCCAAAUCAGACCUAGGGCCCCUUUCGGCCAAUAUCACAACUCCGGCACGGCGGCUCCGCCGUGCUCCGGCGUCGGCGCCGCUGCAAGUGGCGACGAUUCACCUCGGGUUGGCCGUUUUCGGCUGAAUUCGGCCACACUUGCAUCGGUCCCU
RNAcentral lists this long non-coding RNA (1030 nucleotides) under Carica papaya (papaya). RNAcentral describes it as "long non-coding RNA (CPAP_LNC006247)". The record is from RNAcentral. Lineage: Eukaryota; Viridiplantae; Streptophyta; Magnoliopsida; Brassicales; Caricaceae.